Molecule: long non-coding RNA, 359 nt
Filed under: Elaeis guineensis (African oil palm)
Lineage: Eukaryota; Viridiplantae; Streptophyta; Magnoliopsida; Arecales; Arecaceae
Description: long non-coding RNA (EGUI_LNC001550)
Source: RNAcentral
CACCUUUUCCUUCUCCUUCUCUCUCUCCUUCAUCUUCUCCUUCUCCAUUUGUCUUCUCCCUCUUCUCCUCCUCCUCUUGUUACUUCUUCCCCUUCCCCUUCUCCUUCUUGUGUUUCCUUUUCCUUCUUUCUUCUCCACCUCGUUGUUGUACUCUCUCUCUUCCUCCUCUUCCUCUCCUCUUCUUAUCACUUAGUGAUGAGGUCCCUCAGUGAGCAGUUGUUGUUCCCAAAAAGAAAUGGCACUUUGCAUGCAUUAGGGGAAUGGGCAUAAUCUAAGUCUCUCAUUGAAUUACUGUCUUUAAGCAAGCACACGUUGCUAUUGUUUCUAUUGUCCCAUGGUGGAACAUAUCUUCAAUCUCA